AUUUAAAUAGUUUAAUUAAAACUUUGAUUUGUGGAGUCAGUAAUGUAUAAUAUACUUUAAAUA
RNAcentral lists this transfer RNA (63 nucleotides) under Andrena semilaevis. RNAcentral's name for it is "tRNA-His". Lineage: Eukaryota; Metazoa; Arthropoda; Insecta; Hymenoptera; Andrenidae. The record is from RNAcentral.